This 73-nucleotide transfer RNA is filed under the name Neotoma lepida (desert woodrat). It matches the Rfam family "tRNA". Rfam says of the family: Transfer RNA (tRNA) molecules are approximately 80 nucleotides in length. Their secondary structure includes four short double-helical elements and three loops (D, anti-codon, and T loops). The record is from Rfam by way of RNAcentral. Lineage: Eukaryota; Metazoa; Chordata; Mammalia; Rodentia; Cricetidae.
GGAGAGGUGGCUCAGUGGUUAAGAGCACUGAUUGUUCUUCUAGAGGACUUGGGUUCAAUUCCCAGCAUCCACA